Molecule: ribosomal RNA, 1046 nt
Filed under: uncultured bacterium
Lineage: Bacteria
Description: bacterial SSU rRNA
Rfam family: Bacterial small subunit ribosomal RNA
Source: RNAcentral
ACUCCUACGGGAGGCUGCAGUGGGGAAUAUUGCGCAAUGGGGGAAACCCUGACGCAGCAACGCCGCGUGAAGGAUGAAGGUUUUCGGAUUGUAAACUUCUUUGAUUGGGGACGAAGAAAUGACGGUACCCAAAAAACAAGCCACGGCUAACUACGUGCCAGCAGCCGCGGUAAUACGUAGGUGGCGAGCGUUGUCCGGAAUUACUGGGUGUAAAGGGCGUGUAGGCGGGAAUGUAAGUCAGAUGUGAAAUUCCAGGGCUCAACCCUGGCGCUGCAUCUGAAACUAUGUUUCUUGAGUGCUGGAGAGGAAAGCGGAAUUCCUAGUGUAGCGGUGAAAUGCGUAGAUAUUAAGAGGAACACCAGUGGCGAAGGCGGCUUUCUGGACAGUAACUGACGCUGAGGCGCGAAAGCGUGUGGGAGCAMACAGGAUUAGAUACCCUGGUAGUCCACGCUGUAAACGAUGGAUACUAKGUGUAGGAGGUAUCGACCCCUUCUGUGCCGCAGUUAACACAAUAAGUAUCCCACCUGGGGAGUACGGCCGCAAGGUUGAAACUCAAAGGAAUUGACGGGGGCCCGCACAAGCAGUGGAGUAUGUGGUUUAAUUCGAAGCAACGCGAAGAACCUUACCAGGGCUUGACAUACCAUUGAAGUACCCAGAGAUGGGUAUGUCCUUCGGGACAAUGGAUACAGGUGGUGCAUGGUUGUCGUCAGCUCGUGUCGUGAGAUGUUGGGUUAAGUCCCGCAACGAGCGCAACCCCUAUUGUUAGUUGCCAUCAUUAAGUUGGGCACUCUAGCGAGACUGCCGGUGACAAAUCGGAGGAAGGUGGGGACGACGUCAAAUCAUCAUGCCCCUUAUGUCCUGGGCUACACACGUACUACAAUGGCUAUUACAGCAGGAUGCGAAAGAGUAAUCUGGAGCCAAUCCCUAAAAAUAGCCCCAGUUCAGAUUGUGGGCUGCAACUCGCCCACAUGAAGUCGGAAUUGCUAGUAAUUGCAGGUCAGCAUACUGCAGUGAAUACGUUCCCGGGCCUUGUACACACCGCCCGU